GACGAACGCUGGCGGCGUGCCUAAUACAUGCAAGUAGAACGCUGAAGGAGGAGCUUGCUUCUCCGGAUGAGUUGCGAACGGGUGAGUAACGCGUAGGUAACCUGCCUGGUAGCGGGGGAUAACUAUUGGAAACGAUAGCUAAUACCGCAUAACAGUAGAUGUUGCAUGACAUUUGCUUAAAAGGUGCAAUUGCAUCACUACCAGAUGGACCUGCGUUGUAUUAGCUAGUUGGUGAGGUAACGGCUCACCAAGGCGACGAUACAUAGCCGACCUGAGAGGGUGAUCGGCCACACUGGGACUGAGACACGGCCCAGACUCCUACGGGAGGCAGCAGUAGGGAAUCUUCGGCAAUGGACGGAAGUCUGACCGAGCAACGCCGCGGGAGUGAAGAAGGGUUUCGGAUCGUAAAGCUCUGUUGUAAGAGAAGAACGAGUGUGAGAGUGGAAAGUUCACACUGUGACGGUAUCUUACCAGAAAGAGACGGCUAACUACGUG
Molecule: ribosomal RNA, 495 nt
Filed under: uncultured bacterium
Lineage: Bacteria
Description: partial 16S ribosomal RNA
Rfam family: Bacterial small subunit ribosomal RNA
Source: RNAcentral